This 469-nucleotide ribosomal RNA is filed under the name uncultured Rhodocyclaceae bacterium. RNAcentral describes it as "bacterial SSU rRNA". It matches the Rfam family "Bacterial small subunit ribosomal RNA", at positions 916 to 1381 of the family's 1533-position model. The record is from RNAcentral. Lineage: Bacteria; Pseudomonadati; Pseudomonadota; Betaproteobacteria; Rhodocyclales; Rhodocyclaceae.
GACGGGACCCGCACAAGCGGUGGAUGAUGUGGAUUAAUUCGAUGCAACGCGAAAACCUUACCUACCCUUGACAUGUCCGGAAUCCCGAAGAGAUUUGGGAGUGCUCGCAAGAGAACCGGAACACAGGUGCUGCAUGGCUGUCGUCAGCUCGUGCCGUGAGAUGUUGGGUUAAGUCCCGCAACGAGCGCAACCCUUGUCAUUAGUUGCCAUCAUUUGGUUGGGCACUCUAAUGAGACUGCCGGUGACAAACCGGAGGAAGGUGGGGAUGACGUCAAGUCCUCAUGGCCCUUAUGGGUAGGGCUUCACACGUCAUACAAUGGUCGGUACAGAGGGUUGCCAACCCGCGAGGGGGAGCUAAUCCCACAAAGCCGAUCGUAGUCCGGAUCGCAGUCUGCAACUCGACUGCGUGAAGUCGGAAUCGCUAGUAAUCGUGGAUCAGCAUGUCACGGUGAAUACGUUCCCGGGCCUU